This is a small nucleolar RNA of Esox lucius (northern pike), 132 nucleotides long. Ensembl annotates it as small nucleolar RNA SNORA3/SNORA45 family. The record is from Ensembl. Lineage: Eukaryota; Metazoa; Chordata; Actinopteri; Esociformes; Esocidae.
AGCGAGGCUAGAGUCACGCCUUUGCAGCCCUCAUUGCUUUGGUGUGCUAGAGUGCUCGCAGAGUGAUUUUCUUGGCCUAUUCAUUGGCUCUAGUCUUUAGUGGUCCAGCCAAUCACCAGCUCAGAUACAGAA